UACAGAGGGUGCAAGCGUUAAUCGGAAUUACUGGGCGUAAAGCGUGCGUAGGUGGUCUGUUAAGUCAGGUGUGAAAUCCUUGGGCUUAACCUGAGAAUUGCAUUUGAAACUAGCAGACUAGAGUGUGGUAGAGGGUAGUGGAACUCCCGGUGUAGCGGUGAAAUGCGUAGAUAUCGGGAAGAACACCAGUGGCGAAGGCGGCUACCUGGACCAACACUGACACUGAGGUACGAAAGCGUGGGGAGCAAACAGG
RNAcentral lists this ribosomal RNA (253 nucleotides) under uncultured bacterium. Its description in RNAcentral is "partial 16S ribosomal RNA". It matches the Rfam family "Bacterial small subunit ribosomal RNA", at positions 524 to 776 of the family's 1533-position model. The record is from RNAcentral. RNAcentral also lists the same sequence under 1 other name.